GACGAACGCUGGCGGCGCGCUUAACACAUGCAAGUCGAACGGUAAGGCCCUUCGGGGUACACGAGUGGCGAACGGGUGAGUAACACGUGGGUGAUCUGCCCUGCACUUCGGGCUAAGCCUGGGAAACUGGGUCUAAUACCGGAUAGGACUCCUGGCUUCAUGGUUGGGGGGGGAAAGCUUUUGCGGUGUGGGAUGGGCCCGCGGCCUAUCAGCUUGUUGGUGGGGUAAUGGCCUACCAAGGCGACGACGGGUAGCCGGCCUGAGAGGGUGACCGGUCACACUGGGACUGAGAUACGGCCCAGACUCCUACGGGAGGCAGCAGUGGGGAAUAUUGCACAAUGGGCGCAAGCCUGAUGCAGCGACGCCACGUGAGGGAUGACGGCCUUCGGGUUGUAAACCUCUUUCAGCUAUGACGAAGCGCAAGUGACGGUAGUAGCAGAAGAAGGACCGGCCAACUACGUGCCAGCCGCCGCCGUAA
Molecule: ribosomal RNA, 478 nt
Filed under: uncultured bacterium
Lineage: Bacteria
Description: partial 16S ribosomal RNA
Rfam family: Bacterial small subunit ribosomal RNA
Source: RNAcentral